UCUGGGCAUGGUGUGGGGUGCCUGUAAUCCCAGCUACUCAGGAGGUUGAGGCAGGAGAAUCACUUGAACCCAGGAGGCAUAGGCUGCAGUGAGCCGAGAUCGCACCACUGCACUCCAGCCUGGGUGACAGAGUGAGAUCCUGUCUCAA
RNAcentral lists this non-coding RNA (148 nucleotides) under Nomascus leucogenys (northern white-cheeked gibbon). The record is from Rfam by way of RNAcentral. Lineage: Eukaryota; Metazoa; Chordata; Mammalia; Primates; Hylobatidae.